UGAAGAGUUUGAUCAUGGCUCAGAUUGAACGCUGGCGGCAGGCCUAACACAUGCAAGUCGAACGGUAACAGGAAGCAGCUUGCUGCUUUGCUGACGAGUGGCGGACGGGUGAGUAAUGUCUGGGAAACUGCCUGAUGGAGGGGGAUAACUACUGGAAACGGUGGCUAAUACCGCAUAACGUCGCAAGACCAAAGAGGGGGACCUUCGGGCCUCUUGCCAUCAGAUGUGCCCAGAUGGGAUUAGCUUGUUGGUGAGGUAACGGCUCACCAAGGCGACGAUCCCUAGCUGGUCUGAGAGGAUGACCAGCCACACUGGAACUGAGACACGGUCCAGACUCCUACGGGAGGCAGCAGUGGGGAAUAUUGCACAAUGGGCGCAAGCCUGAUGCAGCCAUGCCGCGUGUAUGAAGAAGGCCUUCGGGUUGUAAAGUACUUUCAGCGGGGAGGAAGGUGUUGUGGUUAAUAACCGCAGCAAUUGACGUUACCCGCAGAAGAAGCACCGGCUAACUCCGUGCCAGCAGCCGCGGUAAUACGGAGGGUGCAAGCGUUAAUCGGAAUUACUGGGCGUAAAGCGCACGCAGGCGGUCUGUCAAGUCGGAUGUGAAAUCCCCGGGCUCAACCUGGGAACUGCAUUCGAAACUGGCAGGCUUGAGUCUUGUAGAGGGGGGUAGAAUUCCAGGUGUAGCGGUGAAAUGCGUAGAGAUCUGGAGGAAUACCGGUGGCGAAGGCGGCCCCCUGGACAAAGACUGACGCUCAGGUGCGAAAGCGUGGGGAGCAAACAGGAUUAGAUACCCUGGUAGUCCACGCCGUAAACGAUGUCUACUUGGAGGUUGUGCCCUUGAGGCGUGGCUUCCGGAGCUAACGCGUUAAGUAGACCGCCUGGGGAGUACGGCCGCAAGGUUAAAACUCAAAUGAAUUGACGGGGGCCCGCACAAGCGGUGGAGCAUGUGGUUUAAUUCGAUGCAACGCGAAGAACCUUACCUGGUCUUGACAUCCACAGAACUUUCCAGAGAUGGAUUGGUGCCUUCGGGAACUGUG
RNAcentral lists this ribosomal RNA (1037 nucleotides) under Salmonella enterica. Its description in RNAcentral is "bacterial SSU rRNA". It matches the Rfam family "Bacterial small subunit ribosomal RNA", at positions 1 to 1031 of the family's 1533-position model. The record is from RNAcentral. Lineage: Bacteria; Pseudomonadati; Pseudomonadota; Gammaproteobacteria; Enterobacterales; Enterobacteriaceae.